Molecule: ribosomal RNA, 2907 nt
Filed under: Salmonella enterica
Lineage: Bacteria; Pseudomonadati; Pseudomonadota; Gammaproteobacteria; Enterobacterales; Enterobacteriaceae
Also listed under: 2 other names
Description: 23S ribosomal RNA
Rfam family: Bacterial large subunit ribosomal RNA
Source: RNAcentral
GGUUAAGCGACUAAGCGUACACGGUGGAUGCCCUGGCAGUCAGAGGCGAUGAAGGGCGUGCUAAUCUGCGAUAAGCGCCGGUAAGGUGAUAUGAACCGUUAUAACCGGCGAUACCCGAAUGGGGAAACCCAGUGUGACUCGUCACACUAUCAUUAACUGAAUCCAUAGGUUAAUGAGGCGAACCGGGGGAACUGAAACAUCUAAGUACCCCGAGGAAAAGAAAUCAACCGAGAUUCCCCCAGUAGCGGCGAGCGAACGGGGAGGAGCCCAGAGCCUGAAUCAGCAUGUGUGUUAGUGGAAGCGUCUGGAAAGGCGCGCGAUACAGGGUGACAGCCCCGUACACAAAAGCGCAUGUGCUGUGAGCUCGAUGAGUAGGGCGGGACACGUGGUAUCCUGUCUGAAUAUGGGGGGACCAUCCUCCAAGGCUAAAUACUCCUGACUGACCGAUAGUGAACCAGUACCGUGAGGGAAAGGCGAAAAGAACCCCGGCGAGGGGAGUGAAAAAGAACCUGAAACCGUGUACGUACAAGCAGUGGGAGCACAGGUUUACCUGUGUGACUGCGUACCUUUUGUAUAAUGGGUCAGCGACUUAUAUUCUGUAGCAAGGUUAACCGUAUAGGGGAGCCGUAGGGAAACCGAGUCUUAACCGGGCGUUAAGUUGCAGGGUAUAGACCCGAAACCCGGUGAUCUAGCCAUGGGCAGGUUGAAGGUUGGGUAACACUAACUGGAGGACCGAACCGACUAAUGUUGAAAAAUUAGCGGAUGACCUGUGGCUGGGGGUGAAAGGCCAAUCAAACCGGGAGAUAGCUGGUUCUCCCCGAAAGCUAUUUAGGUAGCGCCUCGUGAAUUCAUCUCCGGGGGUAGAGCACUGUUUCGGCUAGGGGGCCAUCCCGGCUUACCAACCCGAUGCAAACUGCGAAUACCGGAGAAUGUUAUCACGGGAGACACACGGCGGGUGCUAACGUCCGUCGUGAAGAGGGAAACAACCCAGACCGCCAGCUAAGGUCCCAAAGUCAUGGUUAAGUGGGAAACGAUGUGGGAAGGCCCAGACAGCCAGGAUGUUGGCUUAGAAGCAGCCAUCAUUUAAAGAAAGCGUAAUAGCUCACUGGUCGAGUCGGCCUGCGCGGAAGAUGUAACGGGGCUAAACCAUGCACCGAAGCUGCGGCAGCGACACUGUGUGUUGUUGGGUAGGGGAGCGUUCUGUAAGCCUGUGAAGGUGGCCUGUGAGGGUUGCUGGAGGUAUCAGAAGUGCGAAUGCUGACAUAAGUAACGAUAAAGCGGGUGAAAAGCCCGCUCGCCGGAAGACCAAGGGUUCCUGUCCAACGUUAAUCGGGGCAGGGUGAGUCGACCCCUAAGGCGAGGCCGAAAGGCGUAGUCGAUGGGAAACGGGUUAAUAUUCCCGUACUUGGUGUUACUGCGAAGGGGGGACGGAGAAGGCUAUGUUGGCCGGGCGACGGUUGUCCCGGUUUAAGCGUGUAGGUGUGUGUUCCAGGUAAAUCCGGUUCACUUUAACACUGAGGCGUGAUGACGAGGCACUACGGUGCUGAAGCAACAAAUGCCCUGCUUCCAGGAAAAGCCUCUAAGCAUCAGGUAACAUCAAAUCGUACCCCAAACCGACACAGGUGGUCAGGUAGAGAAUACCAAGGCGCUUGAGAGAACUCGGGUGAAGGAACUAGGCAAAAUGGUGCCGUAACUUCGGGAGAAGGCACGCUGACACGUAGGUGAAGUGAUUUACUCACGGAGCUGAAGUCAGUCGAAGAUACCAGCUGGCUGCAACUGUUUAUUAAAAACACAGCACUGUGCAAACACGAAAGUGGACGUAUACGGUGUGACGCCUGCCCGGUGCCGGAAGGUUAAUUGAUGGGGUCAGCGCAAGCGAAGCUCCUGAUCGAAGCCCCGGUAAACGGCGGCCGUAACUAUAACGGUCCUAAGGUAGCGAAAUUCCUUGUCGGGUAAGUUCCGACCUGCACGAAUGGCGUAAUGAUGGCCAGGCUGUCUCCACCCGAGACUCAGUGAAAUUGAACUCGCUGUGAAGAUGCAGUGUACCCGCGGCAAGACGGAAAGACCCCGUGAACCUUUACUAUAGCUUGACACUGAACAUUGAGCCUUGAUGUGUAGGAUAGGUGGGAGGCUUUGAAGUGUGGACGCCAGUCUGCAUGGAGCCGACCUUGAAAUACCACCCUUUAAUGUUUGAUGUUCUAACGUGGACCCGUAAUCCGGGUUGCGGACAGUGUCUGGUGGGUAGUUUGACUGGGGCGGUCUCCUCCUAAAGAGUAACGGAGGAGCACGAAGGUUGGCUAAUCCUGGUCGGACAUCAGGAGGUUAGUGCAAUGGCAUAAGCCAGCUUGACUGCGAGCGUGACGGCGCGAGCAGGUGCGAAAGCAGGUCAUAGUGAUCCGGUGGUUCUGAAUGGAAGGGCCAUCGCUCAACGGAUAAAAGGUACUCCGGGGAUAACAGGCUGAUACCGCCCAAGAGUUCAUAUCGACGGCGGUGUUUGGCACCUCGAUGUCGGCUCAUCACAUCCUGGGGCUGAAGUAGGUCCCAAGGGUAUGGCUGUUCGCCAUUUAAAGUGGUACGCGAGCUGGGUUUAGAACGUCGUGAGACAGUUCGGUCCCUAUCUGCCGUGGGCGCUGGAGAACUGAGGGGGGCUGCUCCUAGUACGAGAGGACCGGAGUGGACGCAUCACUGGUGUUCGGGUUGUCAUGCCAAUGGCACUGCCCGGUAGCUAAAUGCGGAAGAGAUAAGUGCUGAAAGCAUCUAAGCACGAAACUUGCCCCGAGAUGAGUUCUCCCUGAGACUUAAAGUCUCCUGAAGGAACGUUGAAGACGACGACGUUGAUAGGCCGGGUGUGUAAGCGCAGCGAUGCGUUGAGCUAACCGGUACUAAUGAACCGUGAGGCUUAACCUU